Molecule: long non-coding RNA, 538 nt
Organism: Esox lucius (northern pike)
Lineage: Eukaryota; Metazoa; Chordata; Actinopteri; Esociformes; Esocidae
Exons: 4
Source: RefSeq, a predicted model, not a curated record
ACUCAAGAGUCAAGAGCUGGGUUCUACCAGGAAAAUUAAGGUGAUUUUCAUUCAGCGUUUCACAUUGGAGGGCUGUGAUGCUACUGUUUUCGACUAGUUGCCACAAGGCAUAAUUUUUUUUAAAAUCUUUAUAUUGAUUAAAGUUGAGCUUAGGUUUCUUGUUUGAAUAUAUUUGUUUUCCUUAUUUUAAUGCACUAACUGACUUGGGCUCGCCAAACCUACUCUGAGUCAAGACCGCAGGCCUUGGGCUAAGGUACCUCCUUUUAAGAGGAACACAGAGGCUCUUUAACUGGCAUACCCCAGGAGUCAACUGUGAGGCAGUCUUUAAAGAUGUGAACACGCAAUGAAUAUGGAGGCCAGUGUGUCCUCAGUCGAAAAAGGCUGUGCUCGCUACCCGUCCGUGAGUCCUGCACUGCUACUCUUUAGAUGAACCUGCCUUGCCCAAUUACCCCCUGCUGACCUCAGAUGCCAGCUAAAUCGAAUGUGUGAAGACUCCCGAUGGACGCGUGGCGGUCAGGUCACACACAUGUACCGAGGC